ACCAUGAAGGUUUCUGAAUCAAAUAAAAGUUUGAAUUAUUGAUACUUUUAUCGUUUUUUACAAUGAGGGUUACGUUAGGCGACUUGGUAAUCUUUUUUUCUAUUUUUUUUGUUCGUGGUGGAGUUGGUGAUGUGAUUCGAGGGGUGUCGGGUGUGAUUCGGUUCUGUUUCUUGAGUCAUACUUUAUUGGGACGACGAAGAGUGAUCAACCAGAUAUGAGUGCAACUGAACUUUCUAAACGCUUAGCUGAGCUAGCCAGAUAUCAUUCAACGAGAGGUGGUGCAUUUCCUGAAACAGUGGUGUCUUGCUUGGUUAGGUAAAGUGAUUUGCUCACCAGAGAAAACGUCUGAACUUGGGAAAGGCCAUGAUAUUUUUUUUCAUAGCACUGACGAGAGAGUAAAGAGAAAGGUGAUGAUGACUUUGAUGAGUACGGCUGGGCUAACAUUGGCAGCUUUGAUGAGAUCUCCAUCGAAUGUUCAGGUAAAGCUUUGUUCAUAAGUACUAGCCUCUUUAUCUCAUUUGUGCCAGAUUAUUUGAAAAUUUUGUGAAGAAGCUGCUUCACUUGUAGAAUACUGACAAGAUAUUGGGUUUUGAUCAUUUUUCUAAGUGAGCUAUAGGUUUCUUAACAUCAAAGAUAAUUACUACUAAUGGUUAGUUCCAAGCACAUUUGUCUCUAUCUAACACAAUAUCCUCUCAAGUGAUGAUUUUGCAUUAGUGAUGUCCCUAUAUUUGGCGGUGGCAGAUGAGUUAUGGUCUUCUUCCAAAGAUGUAUUCAAUAGUCCAUCAAAAACAGUACCAUCAAUUUUGAACUCUGAAGAUCUAGGAUUUGAUAUUAGAACUGAGUUUGAGCAACAAGAGAACCAGCAAUUUCCACUGACUGGAAAAGCCAAUGGUCCCUCAUCUCAAAGUGUGCGUGUAACCCCAAAAUCUGAGCAGUUUCAUGAGCAUAAGGGUCAAGCCUCACUUGAGGACCACUUACUACGCACAGCAGACUGCUGCACGUUGCUCACACGUUUAUGAUAAAGUGAAUGAAAGAAACCAUAUCAACAAAACAAAAUGAUGAAGCUUUUGAAAUUGUUUGGGACUUCUGUGGCAGUAGCAUUUCAAGAUGCAAACGGUCAGAGGACACACUGUCCAUCACUUGGAAAAAAAAAAAGUAAAUUGGUUAGCACCGUCAGCGUGAGUCUCAAGGGUCUGGGACAUCACACCAUCUACAUAUGCCAAACCAGUACAUGGCUACUUCUGGUUUUGGUAAUCAUACAAAUCCAUAUU
Long non-coding RNA from Raphanus sativus (radish), 1271 nucleotides. RefSeq lists it as uncharacterized. The record is from RefSeq and is a predicted model, not a curated record. Lineage: Eukaryota; Viridiplantae; Streptophyta; Magnoliopsida; Brassicales; Brassicaceae. The transcript is spliced from 3 exons.